This 2785-nucleotide long non-coding RNA is filed under the name Neodiprion pinetum (white pine sawfly). Its description in RNAcentral is "uncharacterized LOC124213803". The record is from RNAcentral. Lineage: Eukaryota; Metazoa; Arthropoda; Insecta; Hymenoptera; Diprionidae.
UCUCGUUGGCGCUGCUGGUACGUGGUAUCAUCCUGUGUACAAACCGUGUUUGACGUGACGUAGCUUCCCGCUCAAAAAAAAAAAGAAUUGGUUGUUCGCAUGUCAUCUUGUAACCUUCGAUAUAAUUGUGUUAUUCAUUUCUUAUCAAACAUCGGUUGUUGUGAAUAUCCAAGAGAAUGAUCAGUACAGUGCAAAUUGCGUCCAGCUACUUAACGUUAACAAAUGUGAUAAAUUAAUCCUACAGUAACUUGCAUUGAGCAUCCCUAGAACAUGUACAUCAAAUUGGUUGUCUUGUGGAACAAUUUGUAAACAAUUGAUACUGACUGAUGUGACGAAUAUCCAAAAUAUCUAAUUUGGGUAGGAAACGUCUUGUUCUAUCCACACAACCCACGUUUUUUGCACAUUGAAUUAGUCGUCAUUCGAUGGUACUUGUGAAACAUUCGGAUUAGUCAAUUCUGCCACCAAAUUGCAAUGUAACGGAAAAAUAGCUGCAUGUAAUGGUUGAUAUUUCAUGAAGUAGCUGGUUGGCAUGAACAGAAGAACAUGUACCACUUCUAGGCGUACAAGUGGAUUGGCAGUUGUGCCUUAGUUACGAUGGACACACGCGUACCGCGUUUCUCUUCCGCGGUUUUUUCAUAUCAUCAUUGUGGUAUAUUACGCAAACCACACUCGGAGGCCGACAUCAAUGGUGCGUCCCGAAAUGAGGACGCGUCAGAACUUAUAUAAGAUGCGGCUCGAAAGGAAAAAUGCUCAAAUCUAAUAAGAAUAACAAAUAAACCAAAUGGUCUCUAAAAUACCAAUACGCCGCGUUAUCAUUCGUUCGCGGAACCCAUUCUUAUAAUUAUGCUAAAACAUGAUAAGCUUUCAUAAUUAUAUACCUAGAACUGAUUUCCGGCGGUUAUUACAAUGAAUAACGGUGGAAUGUAUUAUACGUAUAUUGAGACAAAUGCCCAUUUAUCUUUCCAUAAUAAAAGGGUAUUUCGUCAGACCCAACGCGAAUUUGGCGGAUUCAAAUUCGCGAUGCUCUGACCUCUAAUAAAAAAGGGAACCCAAUCUAACAAUUGUGGCGGUCUUGCAGCUGAGGAAUGUCCGCUCCCCGGUGCAAAUUAAACCGUUGCUUUAAUUUAAUGUACUCACUUCCUCACGGGUGUAUUAGCGAAAGUUUUUAACUAAAGUACAAGCUCGGCCAAUUGAAUAUUCUUUCUUUACUCACAAUCUCUGGUUCUGGCGGGCAACGUAAGGUCGAUGACAAUUUUCAGUUAGACUAUUGAACAGCACACUUAAUUUUAUUAAACAUAAUGUGUUACUCUAUCAGCUACUUUGAGGAAUUUGUGCAAUUAAAAUUAAUGAAUAAUACAAUAACGAAUUAAUAAUUUUAGAAUAAUACAAAGUGCUUAUAUAGCGAGUUAAUCGCAGGCUUAGUGGUAAUGAUAAUGAUCCCUCGUACCGACGCUUCAUCAUAUACAUAUAUAUCCCGAUCCCGUGUUGUCCAACGGGAGGUUCUAAUCGUCGGUGACCGGCGAUACCCGAGAGGUCAUAAAGCAUGGUUCCGCUGACCUAUCGAUUCUUAUGGAGACUUGACCGACAGGUGAGUUGGGGGUCAUUACGGCUGUUGAUCAUACGGGUUUUUUUUUUUUGGGUAGUUGUUCGGAGGCUGGAAACGACUGGACAAUUUGUAUUGUCUCAAUAUGUUAAAGUAUAUUUGUUUACAUUGUAAUAUGCGGAUAGUGGUUACACCGCAGGAUUUACGAAUGACGAUCUUUUGAAAUUUCAAAACAUUUUAUUCACUACGAACAGAAUGCAACAUGAGAUUUUAAACAAUUAUAGGAAUAACUUAAAUCUUUGCUUGUACAGAUAUACAACAGAUGUAUGUAUACUAUCAUAAUCUAUAUUACAAUAUAAUUACAUAGGUAUAUGGUACGGUAUAUAAUCCAACAACGUGUGACAAAAAUCAGACAUAUUGUUCUUUAUUUUAUACGUGUUUGUAUAAAAUUAUUUCCAAGCAAGCUGACCAUCAAAAUGCGUGAAUUAACAGUUCCUCCAGACUGGAUAAUGUUUCAGCCUGAAUACUCUAACUACCUACGAAUGAUAGCUUUACUAUAAUAAUUAUGUUAGAGUAGAACUCUACAUACAAGAUGAUCUAAAAAGGAGCCCGCUACUCCCGAGAAAACUUGGCACCAUCUUUACUGGUAAUGAAAUAAUCUGCGCUACCAGACAGAACGAAAGUCUAGCAGGAGAACGACAGAGCCAGUCAACAAUCCGCAAGCUUGACAAAGACACAAGACGGCUAACACAACCGCCGAAGACGGAAUGUGACCGGAGUUGAGUCUGUCCAAAGCCAACCUAACUUAGCAUUACUUGACCUAUCUAACCUACAAGAACGACAACGUAACGUGCGAGGUUUUAUAUUGAACACGUCAAAUAUAUACAUAUAAAAUAGAAAAUACAAAUGGAACGUGUAGCGUGACGUGAACGCCACAAUGGUACUAAUGUAUUGUAUACGCAUACUGAGUAGUAUGCAAAGUACGGACUAAAUGAUAUGAAACAGUGUAGUCGUAGGAAAAUGGCUCGUGUACAUUCUCAAGCUUCGUGCCAAAUGCCACUCUUGGCUGAAGACAUGAAUUUUUUCGGUAAGGCCUUGAAUCAAAAGAAAUUAAAUUUAAUCCACUAGUACUCGAUUCAAGAAUUUCACUAUUUGGUUGCCACCAGGGGCAGGCGAGUGACACUAUAAUACCAGUUCAUAACAAAAACUCGAGAAAGUAUAACUGGUAAGUUUUUACUUGUA